This 465-nucleotide ribosomal RNA is filed under the name Vreelandella stevensii. Its description in RNAcentral is "partial 16S ribosomal RNA". It matches the Rfam family "Bacterial small subunit ribosomal RNA", at positions 338 to 795 of the family's 1533-position model. The record is from RNAcentral. Lineage: Bacteria; Pseudomonadati; Pseudomonadota; Gammaproteobacteria; Oceanospirillales; Halomonadaceae.
CCUACGGGAGGCAGCAGUGGGGAAUAUUGGACAAUGGGGGCAACCCUGAUCCAGCCAUGCCGCGUGUGUGAAGAAGGCCCUCGGGUUGUAAAGCACUUUCAGUGAGGAAGAACGCCUGGUGGUUAAUACCCAUCAGGAAAGACAUCACUCACAGAAGAAGCACCGUCUAACUCCGUGCCAGCAGCCGCGGUAAUACGGAGGGUGCGAGCGUUAAUCGGAAUUACUGGGCGUAAAGCGCGCGUAGGUGGCUUGAUAAGCCGGUUGUGAAAGCCACGGGCUCAACCUGGGAACGGCAUCCGGAACUGCCAAGCUAGAGUGCAGGAGAGGAAGGUAGAAUUCCCGGUGUAGCGGUGAAAUGCGUAGAGAUCGGGAGGAAUACCAGUGGCGAAGGCGGCCUUCUGGACUGACACUGACACUGAGGUGCGAAAGCGUGGGUAGCAAACAGGAUUAGAUACCCCUGUAGUC